RNAcentral lists this long non-coding RNA (610 nucleotides) under Parus major (Great Tit). Its description in RNAcentral is "lncRNA (ENSPMJG00000011660.1)". The record is from RNAcentral. Lineage: Eukaryota; Metazoa; Chordata; Aves; Passeriformes; Paridae.
AUCUAAAGGAAAUGCUGAAUAUAACAAAACUGCAACAGUGAAUAACAUUUUCUGAAUGAAACCAAAGCAUUUCCUUUUAGCUCUGUUCAGUACCGAUGUAUGUCUCCCUGACAUGAUCUUGAUACCUCACAAAAGCUGGAGAUUAGAUGUUUUCCAUUAUUAAUUUUUUGCUAUGGACAGAUUUUCUGAGUGUGCCACAAGGUAUACAUCACCCAUCAUACGAAUCCCCAGGAUGAAAAAUUACUGAAUGAUGACAACCAGAAUGUCAGUGCUAAAGCCCGUUACAAACGUACCAGCAUUUUCUCCUUGAAUUUAGAGGAGAAUUUGGAAACAAGAGUGCCAUUAAAUGGAAGAUUGUCAGAGAGAACCAUACAAUUUGUGUCACUGGUCUGCCGAAGAGGUUCUUCCCCGAAGAGUAACGGGAAUUUUUCAGAGUCCUGCAUCAAAUUGGCAAUAAUAUUAAAUGGCAAGUGUUGCAUGAUUACAUCAGCACUUCUCAUAUUUUCUCUCCAGCACCCCAGUAUACUGAAUUAAUUCUGUAUGUCCCUUGGGUUGGAGGCAGAAAAUAGCAAGAAAAAUGCAAAAUAAUAUGCCACCAUUUUUAGAGGAG